Molecule: ribosomal RNA, 727 nt
Filed under: uncultured Alteromonas sp.
Lineage: Bacteria; Pseudomonadati; Pseudomonadota; Gammaproteobacteria; Alteromonadales; Alteromonadaceae
Description: bacterial SSU rRNA
Rfam family: Bacterial small subunit ribosomal RNA
Source: RNAcentral
UGCAGUCGAACGGUAGCAGGAUGUGCUUGCACAUCGCUGACGAGUGGCGGACGGGUGAGUAAUGCUUGGGAACUUGCCUUUGUGAGGGGGAUAACAGUUGGAAACGACUGCUAACACCGCAUAAUGUCUUCGGACCAAACGGGGCUUUUAGCUCCGGCGCAAAGAGAGGCCCAAGUGAGAUUAGCUAGUUGGUGAGGUAAAGGCUCACCAAGGCGACGAUCUCUAGCUGUUCUGAGAGGAAGAUCAGCCACACUGGGACUGAGACACGGCCCAGACUCCUACGGGAGGCAGCAGUGGGGAAUAUUGCACAAUGGGGGAAACCCUGAUGCAGCCAUGCCGCGUGUGUGAAGAAGGCCUUCGGGUUGUAAAGCACUUUCAGUUGUGAGGAAAGGUUGGUAGUUAAUACCUGCCAGCUGUGACGUUAACAACAGAAGAAGCACCGGCUAACUCCGUGCCAGCAGCCGCGGUAAUACGGAGGGUGCGAGCGUUAAUCGGAAUUACUGGGCGUAAAGCGCACGCAGGCGGUUUGUUAAGCUAGAUGUGAAAGCCCCGGGCUCAACCUGGGAUGGUCAUUUAGAACUGGCAGACUAGAGUCUUGGAGAGGGGAGUGGAAUUCCAGGUGUAGCGGUGAAAUGCGUAGAUAUCUGGAGGAACAUCAGUGGCGAAGGCGACUCCCUGGCCAAAGACUGACGCUCAUGUGCGAAAGUGUGGGUAGCGAACAGGAUUA